This 23-nucleotide non-coding RNA is filed under the name Mus musculus (house mouse). Lineage: Eukaryota; Metazoa; Chordata; Mammalia; Rodentia; Muridae. The record is from RNAcentral.
AUGAAAGCCGCCUCCAGCUGGUC